UACGAAGGGUGCAAGCGUUACUCGGAAUUACUGGGCGUAAAGCGUGCGUAGGUGGUUUGUUAAGUCUGUUGUGAAAGCCCCGGGCUCAACCUGGGAAUGGCAAUGGAUACUGGCAGGCUAGAGUGCGGUAGAGGGUAGUGGAAUUCCCGGUGUAGCGGUGAAAUGCGUAGAGAUCGGGAGGAACACCAGUGGCGAAGGCGGCUACCUGGACCAGCACUGACACUGAGGCACGAAAGC
This 237-nucleotide ribosomal RNA is filed under the name uncultured bacterium. Its description in RNAcentral is "partial 16S ribosomal RNA". It matches the Rfam family "Bacterial small subunit ribosomal RNA", at positions 524 to 760 of the family's 1533-position model. The record is from RNAcentral.